Carcharodon carcharias (great white shark) is the source of this 302-nucleotide long non-coding RNA. RefSeq lists it as uncharacterized. Lineage: Eukaryota; Metazoa; Chordata; Chondrichthyes; Lamniformes; Lamnidae. The transcript is spliced from 3 exons. The record is from RefSeq and is a predicted model, not a curated record.
CCUACAUCUCUGGCAAAAAAAACACAGCUUCUCCAGAGCAGAAAGGAAAUCACUCACCUACCACUCUGAACUUCGAAGAUUUGGGAUCUUGCUGGGACAAGAUGUGGAUGGUCAUCGUGCUCCUGGACUGUGUCCAGGCUGAAGUUCUGUUCCUACCGUAUGAUCCUCCCCCGGAUUGUCCUUUCUGAGCUCCAGCCAGGUGAUGGUAAACACUCAGUUUUGGAUUUCCCACAAAUGGAAACAUUCUCUCACAUCUACAAGGUCCCACAUGGCAGACUGGGCAGAAAAAUAAAACCUCAUGG